Molecule: long non-coding RNA, 362 nt
Organism: Chinchilla lanigera (long-tailed chinchilla)
Lineage: Eukaryota; Metazoa; Chordata; Mammalia; Rodentia; Chinchillidae
Exons: 2
Source: RefSeq, a predicted model, not a curated record
AGUUUUCUGCUAUUAUUUCUUUUUAAAAAAAUUUUUUUUUAUUUUAAAGAGUAAAAGAAGGACAGUAUAGCAAUAGGGAGAUUCACCGAAUUAUGGACAAAGUGGAUCCAACCACCUAUAUCAAUUUUGGAGAGGGGAGGGGAGAGUCCAGUGUACUUGGUCCAGCACUUCAUUCUCCAGAAAUGAAUGACAGCAUUGUUGAUGACCCAAAGACAAACCAGAUAUUGGCAGACAAUGAAAUCCAAUUAAUAGGAAAAUGCCAACUUGGCAAUAUUAACAAAAUCAUCAAGAAUCAAAGACAAAUGUGAUAUUGACACACCACACCAUAAGGACCAAUAAAAGCUACACUGUGCCACCCUUAA